AACGAACGCUGGCGGCAUGCCUAACACAUGCAAGUCGAACGAGACCUUCGGGUCUAGUGGCGCACGGGUUCGUAACGCGUGGGAACCUGCCCUUAGGUUCGGAAUAACUCCCCGACAGGGGUGCUAAUACCGAAUAAUGUCUUCGGCCCAAAGAUUUAUCGCCUUUGGAUGGGCCCGCGUUGGAUUAGCUAGUGGGUAGGGUAAAAGCCUACCAAGGCGACGAUCCAUAGCUGGUCUGAGAGGAUGAUCAGCCACACUGGGACUGAGACACGGCCCAGACUCCUACGGGAGGCAGCAGUGGGGAAUAUUGGACAAUGGGCGAAAGCCUGAUCCAGCAAUGACGCGUGAGUGAUGAAGGCCUUAGGGUUGUAAAGCUCUUUUACCCGGGAUGAUAAUGACAGUACCGGGAGAAUAAGCUCCGGCUAACUCCGUG
Molecule: ribosomal RNA, 433 nt
Filed under: uncultured bacterium
Lineage: Bacteria
Description: partial 16S ribosomal RNA
Rfam family: Bacterial small subunit ribosomal RNA
Source: RNAcentral